AAGACUAUACUUUCAGGGAUCAUUUCUAUAGUUUGUUACUAGAAUAACAGCUUAGACACUUGAAGCCAUUGAGAAAAUCGAAAUAAAGCACAGAUGUGGAGUGAGUAGCUGGCAGGCCUUGUGCUCCUGGAUGUGGGGUUGAGGGCUGUCUGAGGUGG
RNAcentral lists this small nucleolar RNA (158 nucleotides) under Erinaceus europaeus (western European hedgehog). Its description in RNAcentral is "Small nucleolar RNA U3". It matches the Rfam family "Small nucleolar RNA U3". From Rfam's summary of the family: Small nucleolar RNAs (snoRNAs) are involved in the processing and modification of rRNA in the nucleolus. There are two main classes of snoRNAs: the box C/D class, and the box H/ACA class. U3 snoRNA is a member of the box C/D class. Lineage: Eukaryota; Metazoa; Chordata; Mammalia; Eulipotyphla; Erinaceidae. The record is from Rfam by way of RNAcentral.